Molecule: ribosomal RNA, 253 nt
Filed under: uncultured bacterium
Lineage: Bacteria
Description: partial 16S ribosomal RNA
Rfam family: Bacterial small subunit ribosomal RNA
Source: RNAcentral
UACGUAGGGUGCGAGCGUUAAUCGGAAUUACUGGGCGUAAAGCGUGCGUAGUCGGUUAUCUAAGUCGGGUGUGAAAUCCCCGGGCUCAACCUGGGAAUUGCAUUCGAUACUGGAUAGCUAGAGUUCGGCAGAGGGAAGCGGAAUUUCGGGUGUAGCGGUGAAAUGCGUAGAUAUCCGAAGGAACAUCAGUGGCGAAAGCGGCUUCCUGGACCAGAACUGACGAUCAGGCACGAAAGCGUGGGGAGCAAACAGG